Gadus morhua (Atlantic cod) is the source of this 2386-nucleotide long non-coding RNA. RefSeq lists it as uncharacterized. The record is from RefSeq and is a predicted model, not a curated record. The transcript is spliced from 5 exons. NCBI's taxonomy places the organism in Eukaryota, Metazoa, Chordata, Actinopteri, Gadiformes, Gadidae.
GUUUCAAUGUUUUUCACGGGGGGACAAUGGGAAUUCCCAUGGAUGAAAACAACAGGAUGAGACAACUUUCUUGUGUUUUGUUUGAUGUGAGGGUGGUUGGGCAUCGACAGUCAAUCGCCAAGCGAAUGUUCGGUCUGAUGGAUGAGGUGCUUUGGCAAAACCGCUGCAUGCCUUCUGUGGUCCUGUAACAAGAUAAUACUUAAGUCAGUGCGGCCUAUAGACAGCUAAUGAGGACAAAUAGUUUUGUCAAUAUUUACAUUAGAAGAAAAGUGCAUUACAGUAAUGCGUUGAACUGGAUGUCAAAACCCUCCACCCCCUUGACAGGAAACUGUCUGUUUCAGCGGUUUCAGGUUUCAGGCGCACACUACCCAAUGAACAAUUGCAGAAGAUGUUGUUAAUAUAUGUUAAGCUUGCGUUGCUACAUUUGGCAACCUCAAGUCAAGAAUUUGGGAAUUGCAAAGAAAAUGCUACUUUAAAGUGUGAUGGAAUCAAAGAGGGCUCCUUCAACUCUAUCACAUGGACCAAGAUGCCGUCUUCUCGUAUAAUCAGAAGAAGCCAUGAUAAGAUACAGCACUAUCAGUUCAAUCGUACUGCUGGCUUGACCGAUGAAAACAGCCUUCUUCUCCCUGACCUGACUCCUGAAGACUCAGGAAUCUACGAGUGUCAGAUCGGGGCAAAGGUCGGGGGUCAGAACACCGAGUCCAAGGUGGUCUUGGAGGUUCCAGUUUGUGUGACUGAGCCGCCCACGCCUGAGCCCCCGGAUCUGCCGAUACCACAGACAAUUUGCUGUUUCCUGGUCAUAUGCCUUCUCAAACUUCUUCUGCCCAUCAUUGUGGCCCAAGUAUUCCAUGGCUUGCGGAGAGACGUGAAGAGUGAAAACCCUGUGCCUUUGAGUUAAUUUAAGUUGCAAUAGUUGUAUUCCUCUGUGUACCAUAACAGCUGUAUAUGUGUGCGUCCCACCCUUUUAGGCUAUAUUAUCCAACCUAUGUUUUUUUUAAAGAAUCAUUUUCUGCGCUUGCUAUUGAAUGAUUGAAUCCUCUUUCUGUCAUCCUAAAGAUACCUUGUAAUGAGACAGCCCAUAGUAUGGGCAUAUAACCAAUGGCGGUUCUACAUGGGGGCCUACGGGGGCCUGUGCCCCUGUAGACAUGUCCCUGGCCCCCCCUGUGCCCCCCCCCGUGCUGACCAAAUGCAACAAUUAUGAUUUUACUGAUUUUAUGGAAGUAAUGCGACGCAACGUUCUACACGGAUUAAUCAGAGCGGCGCACCCAAACACCGAGGUGCUGGUCUUCGGUGAAUGAGAUCUCAGCAACUGCACUUGGAGAAAGGAGCCACGAGUUCUCCUUUUGCAAGAGUCGAAGGCAAGCAAAACAAUUUCAUUUCGUAAGUGACUUGUUGUUCUUGCACAUAACAGUGUUACUGUAGUUCCUCACACUUAUAAUGAAAUUAAGUUUGUAAAUGUCUGGUCUCGAAAUAUUUAGAAACUUAAUAAAAUCUAAGCAAACUCAUCGAAGCAGAAGCGAGUCUCCAAAAGUCAGUAUCCUUGCUAGGUCUAGGCCACACAAUGUUGUUAUGUUAACCACGUAUUUUCAUCCGUUUCGGUUGUUACAUUGGGAUAACAAAUAUAUUUGAGUAAAGAGUAGUAGGCUAUCUGCCUGUGUUAAGUAGCUAGGGAUGGUGAUGGAACGAAAUGUAAUGCAUGCCCUACGUUUCUUUUUCUUUUUUUCUUUCUUUUUAUAGCAGCUAUCAUGAAAUGAGUCUCCGUCUCCGUUUCGCGUCGUUGUCCGGUUCGCCCUGCAUGUCUGGGCUUAUUUUCCCGAUAAUGACCGGCGUUCUAUUAUCCCUUACUUGACGUCAAUAUUACUCUGUAUGUGGAAGGAAAAAUAGCUUUAUUUGUAAUUACAAUAAUACGCUGCUGUAUUUUCAGAGACCCCCACAUAUUUGAGUUUGCCGCUUCCAUGGGAGCCAGACCUCUCUCUAUGGGAGCUCAGCUCCCACUGGCCCCCACCUAACUCGAACCCUGGUUAUGCAACGAAAUGUAAUGCACGUUUUUUUUUUUUUUCUUUCUUUUUCUAGCAGCUAUCAUGAAAUGAGGAAAACAGUAAAACAGGCAAUCUUUUUAAAAGGGAAGAACACCGUUUCUCCACACUGAAACUUUUACAAUAAAUAGGAAAGGGCCAAUUGUUUUGCACUUCGUUGUACCCUGGAUUAUUUAUUCUCAUUGACACACUAUUUACCGUCUUAUUUUUUAAUUUUUUAUGGCCCUACCUCUCUUUAACGCUUGUAUAAAACAAAUCUUUACAUGAUUUUGAUGAUUUAGGGCAUAAUCAAUUUAAGAUAGAUUGACAGAAAAAUACAGACUUGUGAAGUAAUAAACUCUUGUACAAAU